GGGAUGUACCGCCCGUACCGUAAACCGACACAGGUAGUCGAGAAGAAUAUUCUCAGGCGCUCGAGUGAACCAUGGCUAAGGAACUCGGCAAAUUAACCCUGUAACUUCGGGAAAAAGGGUGCCCUUCUUCGGAAGGGUCGCAGAGAAAUGGCCCAGGCGACUGUUUAACAAAAACACAUGGCUAUGCUAAAUCGAAAGAUGACGUAUAUGGCCUGACACCUGCCCGGUGCUGGAAGGUUAAAAGGAGAUGUCAGUCGCAAGACAAAGCAUUGAAUUGAAGCCCCAGUAAACGGCGGCCGUAACAAUAACGGUCCUAAGGUAGCGAAAUUCCUUGUCGGGUAAGUUCCGACCUGCACGAAUGGUGUAACGAUCUGGGCACUGUCUCAGUCAUGAGCUCGGUGAAAUUGUAGUAUCGGUGAAGAUGCCGAUUACCCGCAACGGGACGGAAAGACCCCGUGCACCUUCACUACAACUUUGCAUUGACUUUGGAUAAAUGAUGUGUAGGAUAGGUGGGAGACUUUGAAGCGGGGGCGCUAGCUCUCGUGGAGUCAACCUUGAAAUACCACCCUUCAUUUAUUCGGAGUCUAAUUCCACAUAGUGGAAAACAGUGCAUGGUGGGUAGUUUGACUGGGGUGGUCGCCUCCAAAAGAGUAACGGAGGCUUUCAAAGGUACCCUCAAUACGGUUGGUAAUCGUAUGUGGAGCGCAAUAGCAUAAGGGUGCUUAACUGUGAGACUAACAAGUCGAGCAGGGUCGAAAGACGGAUAUAGUGAUCCGGUGGUUCCGCAUGGAAGGGCCAUCGCUCAAAGGAUAAAAGGUACGCCGGAUAACAGGCUGAUCUCCCCCAAGAGCUCACAUCGACGGGGAGGUUUGGCACCUCGAUGUCGGCUCGUCACAUCCUGGGGCUUGAGAAGGUCCCAAGGGUUGAGCUGUUCGCUCAUUAAAGUGGCACGCGAGCUGGGUUCAGAACGUCGUGAGACAGUUCGGUCCCUAUCUGUUGUGGGCGUUGGAAGUUUGAGAGGACCUGACUCUAGUACGAGAGGACCGAGUCGGACGAACCGCUAGUGUACCAGUUGUCACGCCAGUGGCAUCGCUGGGUAGCUAUGUUCGGUUGAGAUAAGCGCUGAAAGCAUCUAAGCACGAAACUCACCUCAAGAUGAGUCUUCCUUUAAAGGUCGUGGAAGACUACCACGUUGAUAGGUUGCAGUUCUAAAGGCAGUAAUGUCAAAGUCGAGCAAUACUAAUUACCC
This 1249-nucleotide ribosomal RNA is filed under the name metagenome. RNAcentral's name for it is "bacterial LSU rRNA". It matches the Rfam family "Bacterial large subunit ribosomal RNA", at positions 1630 to 2910 of the family's 2925-position model. The record is from RNAcentral.